RNAcentral lists this ribosomal RNA (486 nucleotides) under uncultured bacterium. Its description in RNAcentral is "partial 16S ribosomal RNA". It matches the Rfam family "Bacterial small subunit ribosomal RNA", at positions 30 to 507 of the family's 1533-position model. The record is from RNAcentral.
AUUGAACGCUGGCGGCAUGCCUUACACAUGCAAGUCGAACGGCAGCGCGGACCUCGGUCUGGCGGCGAGUGGCGAACGGGUGAGUAAUACAUCGGAACGUACCCUGUUGUGGGGGAUAACUAGUCGAAAGAUUAGCUAAUACCGCAUACGACCUGAGGGUGAAAGUGGGGGACCGGAAACGGCCUCAUGCAGCAGGAGCGGCCGAUGUCUGAUUAGCUAGUUGGUGGGGUAAAGGCCCACCAAGGCGACGAUCAGUAGCUGGUCUGAGAGGACGAUCAGCCACACUGGGACUGAGACACGGCCCAGACUCCUACGGGAGGCAGCAGUGGGGAAUUUUGGACAAUGGGGGCAACCCUGAUCCAGCAAUGCCGCGUGUGUGAAGAAGGCCUUCGGGUUGUAAAGCACUUUUGUCCGGAAAGAAAUCGCGCUGGUUAAUACCUGGCGUGGAUGACGGUACCGGAAGAAUAAGCACCGGCUAACUACGUG